RNAcentral lists this long non-coding RNA (374 nucleotides) under Pan paniscus (pygmy chimpanzee). RNAcentral's name for it is "lncRNA (ENSPPAG00000044758.1)". Lineage: Eukaryota; Metazoa; Chordata; Mammalia; Primates; Hominidae. The record is from RNAcentral.
CGCCUGCUGCCUUCCUUGGAUGUGGUAGCCGUUUCUCAGGCUCCCUCUCCGGAAUCGAACCCUGAUUCCCCGUCACCCGUGGUCACCAUGGUAGGCACGGCGACUACCAUCGAAAGUUGAUAGGGCAGACGUUCGAAUGGGUCGUCGCCGCCACGGGGGGUCAGCGCCCGUCGGCAUGUAUUAGCUCUAGAAUUACCACAGUUAUCCAAGUAGGAGAGGAGCGAGCGACCAAAGGAACCAUAACUGAUUUAAUGAGCCAUUCGCAGUUUCACUGUACCGGCCGUGCGUACUUGGACAUGCAUGGCUUAAUCUUUGAGACAAGCAUAUGCUACUGGCAGGAUCAACCAGGUAGGUCAAGAAGCGCGGCGAGGCCC